AGUACGUGAAACCGCUUAGAGGUAAACGGGUGGAUCCGCAAAGUCGGCCCGGGGAAUUCAACUUGCCGUUUGGGCUGCGGGCGUUGGGUCAGGGAUCCGUAAAGACCCGCCUGGCGUUCGGCAGUCGUCGGCGAGUGCACUUUCCUCGGGUAGAGCGCCACGACCGGUUUCGGAGCGGUCAUAAGCCGGCUGGGAAGGUGACUUCCUCCUCGGAGGAAGUGUUAUAGCCCGGCCAGGUCGGCUCGUUCCGAGACCGAGGAUUUGCCGCGUCUCACUGCCCCUGGCUCUCUGGGUGCGUUCGACUGGGGAAGCACUGCUUGCAGUUCUCUCCGACUGCGUGCCUUGAUUGGUCGGGAAGCACGAGGCGCUUCGGGUCAGUGGCGAAUCGGUCGGUCCUCCACCCGACCCGUCUUGAAACACGGACCAAGGAGUCUAACAUGUGCGCAAGUCAUGGGGUUCUGUACGAAACCUAAAGGCGCAAUGAAAGUGAAGGUCAACCUCCGGUAGGCCUAGGUAGGAUCCCCGCGAGGGGCGCACUACCGGCCCGUCUCGACCACAUCGUUGGUGGGGCGGAGCAAGAGCGUACACGUUGGGACCCGAAAGAUGGUGAACUAUGCCUGAGUAGGACGAAGCCAGAGGAAACUCUGGUGGAGGUCCGUAGCGAUUCUGACGUGCAAAUCGAUCGUCAAACUUGGGUAUAGGGGCGAAAGACUAAUCGAACCAUCUAGUAGCUGGUUCCCUCCGAAGUUU
This 750-nucleotide ribosomal RNA is filed under the name Brachidontes darwinianus. Its description in RNAcentral is "eukaryotic LSU rRNA". It matches the Rfam family "Eukaryotic large subunit ribosomal RNA", at positions 394 to 969 of the family's 3401-position model. Lineage: Eukaryota; Metazoa; Mollusca; Bivalvia; Mytilida; Mytilidae. The record is from RNAcentral.